RNAcentral lists this ribosomal RNA (524 nucleotides) under bacterium A5T_VP6_A8. Its description in RNAcentral is "bacterial SSU rRNA". It matches the Rfam family "Bacterial small subunit ribosomal RNA", at positions 337 to 853 of the family's 1533-position model. The record is from RNAcentral.
UAAUACGGGAGGCAGCAGUGGGGAAUAUUGCACAAUGGGCGCAAGCCUGAUGCAGCCAUGCCGCGUGUAUGAAGAAGGCCUUCGGGUUGUAAAGUACUUUCAGCAGUGAGGAAGGUAGUAGUGUUAAUAGCACUAUUAUUUGACGUUAGCUGCAGAAGAAGCACCGGCUAACUCCGUGCCAGCAGCCGCGGUAAUACGGAGGGUGCGAGCGUUAAUCGGAAUUACUGGGCGUAAAGCGCAUGCAGGUGGAUGAUUAAGUCAGAUGUGAAAGCCCGGGGCUCAACCUCGGAAUAGCAUUUGAAACUGGUCAUCUAGAGUACUGUAGAGGGGGGUAGAAUUUCAGGUGUAGCGGUGAAAUGCGUAGAGAUCUGAAGGAAUACCGGUGGCGAAGGCGGCCCCCUGGACAGAUACUGACACUCAGAUGCGAAAGCGUGNGGAGCAAACAGGAUUAGAUACCCUGGUAGUCCACGCCGUAAACGAUGUCUACUUGGAGGUUGUGGCCUUGAGCCGUGGCUUUCGGAGCU